GAAUUUAAACCUCUUCCAGAGUAUCAAUUGGAGGGCAAGUCUGGUGCCAGCAGCCGCGGUAAUUCCAGCUCCAAUAGCGUAUAUUAAAAUUGUUGCAGUUAAAAAGCUCGUAGUUGAAUUUCUGCUGCAUUGCUUGUGUCCCUCUGGGGUCUGUGCAUGUGGCUUUUUUCGGACGGAGUUUCUUUGUCUGAAUGUUUACUUUGAGAAAAUUAGAGUGCUCAAAGCAGGCUUUCGCCUUGAAUAGUUUAGCAUGGAAUAAUAAAGUAGGACUUUGGUUCUAUUUUGUUGGUUUUAGGUACCAAAGUAAUGGUUAAUAGGAACAGUUGGGGGCAUUCGUAUUUAACUGUCAGAGGUGAAAUUCUUAGAUUUGUUAAAGACGAACUACUGCGAAAGCAUUUGCCAAGGAUGUUUUCAUUAAUCAAGAACGAAAGUUAGGGGAUCGAAGACGAUCAGAUACCGU
This 460-nucleotide ribosomal RNA is filed under the name Theileria annulata. Its description in RNAcentral is "SSU rRNA". It matches the Rfam family "Eukaryotic small subunit ribosomal RNA", at positions 521 to 1018 of the family's 1831-position model. Lineage: Eukaryota; Apicomplexa; Aconoidasida; Piroplasmida; Theileriidae. The record is from RNAcentral.